RNAcentral lists this long non-coding RNA (1404 nucleotides) under Oncorhynchus mykiss (rainbow trout). RNAcentral's name for it is "lncRNA (ENSOMYG00000068708.1)". Lineage: Eukaryota; Metazoa; Chordata; Actinopteri; Salmoniformes; Salmonidae. The record is from RNAcentral.
AGCAGCUGCUCGGGACAGAGGGGCAGUAGCAGCUCGGGACAGAGGGGCGAUAGCAGCUCGGGACAGAGGGGCGGCAGCUGCUCGGGACAGAGGGGCGGCAGCUGCUCGGGACAGAGGGGCGGCAGCUGCUCGGGACAGAGGGGCGGCAGCUGCUCGGGACAGAGGGGCGGCUGCUCGGGACAGAGGGGCGGCUGCUCGGGACAGAGGGGCGGCUGCUCGGGACAGAGGGACGGCUGCUCGGGACAGAGGGACAGCUGCUCGGGACAGAGGGACAGCUGCUCGGGACAGAGGGACAGCUGCUCGGGACAGAGGGACAGCUGCUCGGGACAGAGGGACAGCUGCUCGGGACAGAGGGGCAGCUGCUCGGGCGGCCCCUGGCUGACUGACGGCACUGGCGGCCCCUGGCUUACUGGCGGCCCCUGGCUGACUGGCGGCCCCUGGCUGACUGGCGGCACUGGCGGCCCCUGGCUUACUGGCGGCACUGGCGGCCCCUGGCUUACUGGCGGCCCCUGGCUGACUGGCGGCACUGGCGACCCCUGGUUGACUGGCGGCCCCUGGCUGACGGGCGGCACUGGCGGCCCCUGGCUGACGGGCGGCACUGGCGGCUCCUGGCAGACGGGCGGCACUGGCGGCUCCUGGCAGACGGGCGGCACUGGCGGCGCUGGGCAGACGGGCGGCACUGGCGGCGCUGGGCAGACGGGCGGCACUGGCGGCGCUGGGCAGACGGGCGGCACUGGCGGCGCUGGGCAGACGGGCGGCACUGGCGGCGCUGGGCAGACGGGCGGCACUGGCGGCGCUGGGCAGACGGGCGGCACUGGCGGCGCUGGGCAGACGGGCGGCACUGGCGGCGCUGGGCAGACGGGCGGCACUGGCGGCGCUGGGCAGACGGGCGGCACUGGCGGCGCUGGGCAGACGGGCGGCACUGGCGGCGCUGGGCAGACGGGCGGCACUGGCGGCGCUGGGCAGACGGGCGGCGCUGGCGGCGCUGGGCAGACGGGCGGCGCUGGCGGCGCUGGGCAGACGGGCGGCGCUGGCGGCGCUGGGCAGACGGGCGGCGCUGGACAGACGGGCGGCGCUGGACAGACGGGCGGCGCUGGACAGACGGGCGGCACUGGCGGCGCUGGGCAGACGGGCGGCGUUGGCGGCGCUGGGCUGACGAGCGGCACUGGCGGCGCUGGAGAGGAGGAAGGCUCUGGAAGCGCCGGACUGAGUAGCUCUCGUAGCGCCGAACAGGCGGGAGACUCCGGCAGCGCUGGAGGGGAGGAAGGCUCUGGUAGCGCCGGAGAGGCGGGAGACUCCGGCAGCGCUGGAGAGGAGAGAGCCCCUGCAAGGAUGGGCCGGAGAGACAGCCUGGUACGGGGAGCUGCCACCGGAGGGCUGGUGCGUGGAGGUGGUGACGGAUAG